GUACUUACCUGGCAGGGGAGAUACCAUGAUCAUGAAGGUGGUUUUCCAGGGCGAGCUUGUCCAUUGCACUCCGGAUGUGCUGAUCCCUCCAAUUUCCCCAAAUGUGGGAAAUUCAACUGCAUAAUUUGUGGUAGUGAAAGACUGUGUUCGCACUCUCCCCUG
Molecule: small nuclear RNA, 162 nt
Organism: Sorex araneus (European shrew)
Lineage: Eukaryota; Metazoa; Chordata; Mammalia; Eulipotyphla; Soricidae
Product: U1 spliceosomal RNA
Exons: 1
Source: RefSeq, a predicted model, not a curated record